RNAcentral lists this transfer RNA (63 nucleotides) under Limnephilus rhombicus. RNAcentral describes it as "tRNA-Glu". The record is from RNAcentral. Lineage: Eukaryota; Metazoa; Arthropoda; Insecta; Trichoptera; Limnephilidae.
ACUUAUGUAGUUUAUUAAAACACUAUAUUUUCAUUAUAGAAAUAAAAUCUAUUUUCUUAAGUU